GUGAAUCAUCAAAUUUUUGAACGCAAAUUGCGCCUUUUUCGAAAGGCAUGUCUGUUUGAGGGCCUCAUUUAACAAAUAAUGUGCAGCGUUUUUUGCUGCACACGUUGAUGAGCUUUCCGAGAAUUUUAAAUUUUUGGUGGCGCAUAAUGAACAGCGUGAAGCUUUUUUUUCAGUUCGAGUGUAGUAAAAUCUUUGCUUGGGCUGUGAAAAGCGUAAUCGCGCAAUGGGUGUGGCGAUUCUACUAACCCUGCCCCAACGCCACUCUUUCUCGCGAAAGAUUUAAUCUUCAGGGCCUCAAAU
This 300-nucleotide unclassified non-coding RNA is filed under the name Paraglomus sp. RNAcentral's name for it is "partial contains 5.8S ribosomal RNA and internal transcribed spacer 2". The stretch from base 1 to 65 matches the Rfam family "5.8S ribosomal RNA", at positions 84 to 154 of the family's 154-position model. The record is from RNAcentral. Lineage: Eukaryota; Fungi; Glomeromycota; Glomeromycetes; Paraglomerales; Paraglomeraceae.